CGGCAACAGCUCAAAUUUGAAAUCUGGCGUAAGCCCGAGUUGUAAUUUGUAGAGGAUGCUUCUGGGUAGCGGCCGGUCUAAGUUCCUUGGAACAGGACGUCAUAGAGGGUGAGAAUCCCGUAUGUGACUGGCUUGCACCCUCCACGUAGCUCCUUCGACGAGUCGAGUUGUUUGGGAAUGCAGCUCUAAAUGGGAGGUAAAUUUCUUCUAAAGCUAAAUACCGGCCAGAGACCGAUAGCGCACAAGUAGAGUGAUCGAAAGAUGAAAAGCACUUUGGAAAGAGAGUUAAAAAGCACGUGAAAUUGUUGAAAGGGAAGCGCCCGCAACCAGACUUUGCGGCGGUGUUCGGCUGGUCUUCUGACCGGUUUACUCGCCGCCGUGAGGCCAUCAUCGUCUGGGACCGCUGGAUAAGACCUGAGGAAUGUAGCUCCCUUCGGGGUGUGUUAUAGCCUCUGGUGAUGCAGCGCGUCUCGGGCGAGGUCCGCGCUUCGGCAAGGAUGAUGGCGUAAUGGUUGUCGGCGGCCCGUCUUGAAACACGGACCAAGGAGUCUAACAUCUAUGCGAGUGUUCGGGUGUCAAACCCCUACGCGUAAUGAAAGUGAACGGAGGUGGGAACUUUUUGUGCACCAUCGACCGAUCCUGAUGUCCUCGGAUGGAUUUGAGUAAGAGCAUAGCUGUUGGGACCCGAAAGAUGGUGAACUAUGCCUGAAUAGGGUGAAGCCAGAGGAAACUCUGG
RNAcentral lists this ribosomal RNA (736 nucleotides) under Pseudocercospora sp. RNAcentral's name for it is "eukaryotic LSU rRNA". It matches the Rfam family "Eukaryotic large subunit ribosomal RNA", at positions 99 to 867 of the family's 3401-position model. The record is from RNAcentral. RNAcentral also lists the same sequence under 1 other name. Lineage: Eukaryota; Fungi; Ascomycota; Dothideomycetes; Mycosphaerellales; Mycosphaerellaceae.